GAUGAACGCUGGCGGCGUGCCUAAUACAUGCAAGUCGAGCGAAAAGACGAGGAGCUUGCUCCUCUGACGUUAGCGGCGGACGGGUGGGUAACACGUGGAUAACCUACCUAUAAGACUGGGAUAACUUCGGGAAACCGGAGCUAAUACCGGAGAAUAUAUUGAACCGCAGGGUUAAAUGGUGAAAGACGGUUUUGCUGUCACUUAUAGCUGAAUCCGUGCCGCAUUAGCUAGUUGGUAAGGUAACGGCUUACCAAGGCGACGAUGCGUAGCCGACCUGAGAGGGUGAUCAGCCACACUGGAACUGAGACACGGUCCAGACUCCUACGGGAGGCAGCAGUAGGGAAUCUUCCGCAAUGGGCGAAAGCCUGACGGAGCAACGCCGCGUGAGUGAUGAAGGUCUUCGGAUCGUAAAACUCUGUUAUUAGGGAAGAACAAAUGUGUAAGUAAAUAUGCACGUCUUGACGGUACCUAAUCAGAAAGCCACGGCUAACUACGUG
RNAcentral lists this ribosomal RNA (497 nucleotides) under uncultured bacterium. Its description in RNAcentral is "partial 16S ribosomal RNA". It matches the Rfam family "Bacterial small subunit ribosomal RNA", at positions 28 to 507 of the family's 1533-position model. The record is from RNAcentral.